This 1856-nucleotide ribosomal RNA is filed under the name Campylobacter jejuni. Its description in RNAcentral is "partial 23S ribosomal RNA". It matches the Rfam family "Bacterial large subunit ribosomal RNA", at positions 1 to 1728 of the family's 2925-position model. Lineage: Bacteria; Pseudomonadati; Campylobacterota; Epsilonproteobacteria; Campylobacterales; Campylobacteraceae. The record is from RNAcentral.
AGGUAAGCUACUAAGAGCGAAUGGUGGAUGCCUUGACUGGUAAAGGCGAUGAAGGACGUACUAGACUGCGAUAAGCUACGGGGAGCUGUCAAGAAGCUUUGAUCCGUAGAUUUCCGAAUGGGGCAACCCAAUGUAUAGAGAUAUACAUUACCUAUAUAGGAGCGAACGAGGGGAAUUGAAACAUCUUAGUACCCUCAGGAAAAGAAAUCAAUAGAGAUUGCGUCAGUAGCGGCGAGCGAAAGCGCAAGAGGGCAAACCCAGUGCUUGCACUGGGGGUUGUAGGACUGCAAUGUGCAAGAGCUGAGUUUAGCAGAACAUUCUGGAAAGUAUAGCCAUAGAGGGUGAUAGUCCCGUAUGCGAAAAACAAAGCUUAGCUAGCAGUAUCCUGAGUAGGGCGGGACACGAGGAAUCCUGUCUGAAUCCGGGUCGACCACGAUCCAACCCUAAAUACUAAUACCAGAUCGAUAGUGCACAAGUACCGUGAGGGAAAGGUGAAAAGAACUGAGGUGAUCAGAGUGAAAUAGAACCUGAAACCAUUUGCUUACAAUCAUUCAGAGCACUAUGUAGCAAUACAGUGUGAUGGACUGCCUUUUGCAUAAUGAGCCUGCGAGUUGUGGUGUCUGGCAAGGUUAAGCAAACGCGAAGCCGUAGCGAAAGCGAGUCUGAAUAGGGCGCUUAGUCAGAUGCUGCAGACCCGAAACGAAGUGAUCUAUCCAUGAGCAAGUUGAAGCUAGUGUAAGAACUAGUGGAGGACUGAACCCAUAGGCGUUGAAAAGCCCCGGGAUGACUUGUGGAUAGGGGUGAAAGGCCAAUCAAACUUCGUGAUAGCUGGUUCUCUCCGAAAUAUAUUUAGGUAUAGCGUUGUGUCGUAAUAUAAGGGGGUAGAGCACUGAAUGGGCUAGGGCAUACACCAAUGUACCAAACCCUAUCAAACUCCGAAUACCUUAUAUGUAAUCACAGCAGUCAGGCGGCGAGUGAUAAAAUCCGUCGUCAAGAGGGAAACAACCCAGACUACCAGCUAAGGUCCCUAAAUCUUACUUAAGUGGAAAACGAUGUGAAGUUACUUAAACAACCAGGAGGUUGGCUUAGAAGCAGCCAUCCUUUAAAGAAAGCGUAAUAGCUCACUGGUCUAGUGAUUUUGCGCGGAAAAUAUAACGGGGCUAAAGUAAGUACCGAAGCUGUAGACUUGCGCACAACUUAGAUUAUUUAAGUUUAGAAUAUGAGAAACUAAGUUAUGUUUAGUUAUAUUUUUACUGAUUUUUAUAGAGUAAAGAUAGAAAUAAAACUUAGUAAAAUCAGUAAAAAUAUUCUUAGGCUAAAGUUAAGUAGUUUAAGUUGUGUGCAAGUGGUAGGAGAGCGUUCUAUUUGCGUCGAAGGUAUACCGGUAAGGAGUGCUGGAGCGAAUAGAAGUGAGCAUGCAGGCAUGAGUAGCGAUAAUUAAUGUGAGAAUCAUUAACGCCGUAAACCCAAGGUUUCCUACGCGAUGCUCGUCAUCGUAGGGUUAGUCGGGUCCUAAGUCGAGUCCGAAAGGGGUAGACGAUGGCAAAUUGGUUAAUAUUCCAAUACCAACAUUAGUGUGCGAUGGAAGGACGCUUAGGGCUAAGGGGGCUAGCGGAUGGAAGUGCUAGUCUAAGGUCGUAGGAGGUUAUACAGGCAAAUCCGUAUAACAAUACUCCGAGAACUGAAAGGCUUUUUGAAGUCUUCGGAUGGAUAGAAGAACCCCUGAUGCCGUCGAGCCAAGAAAAGUUUCUAAGUUUAGCUAAUGUUGCCCGUACCGUAAACCGACACAGGUGGGUGGGAUGAGUAUUCUAAGGCGCGUGGAAGAACUCUCUUUAAGGAACUCUGCAAAAUAGCAC